GGCCUAAUGGCCCAAUGGCAAGGCGCUUGACUACGAUUCCAUAAUCCGAAAUCAAGAGAUUCCAGGUUCGACCCCUGGUUAGGUCA
RNAcentral lists this transfer RNA (86 nucleotides) under Exserohilum turcicum. RNAcentral describes it as "tRNA-Arg". It matches the Rfam family "tRNA". From Rfam's summary of the family: Transfer RNA (tRNA) molecules are approximately 80 nucleotides in length. Their secondary structure includes four short double-helical elements and three loops (D, anti-codon, and T loops). The record is from RNAcentral. RNAcentral also lists the same sequence under 1 other name. Lineage: Eukaryota; Fungi; Ascomycota; Dothideomycetes; Pleosporales; Pleosporaceae.